AGCAGCCGCGGUAAUUCCAGCUCCAAUAGCGUAUAUUAAAGUUGUUGCAGUUAAAAAGCUCGUAGUUGAAUUUCGGGAUCAAUAUGUUGGUCGUGCCUUGGUACGUACUGGCAUUAUCGAUUCCUACCUUCUGAAGAACCUCGAUGUCAUUAAUUUGGUGUCUUGGGGAAUCAGGACUGUUACUUUGAAAAAAUUAGAGCGUUUAAAGCAGGCUCGCGCUUGAAUACAUUAGCAUGGAAUAAUGAAAUAGGACGUUUGAUUCUAUUUUGUUGGUUUCUAGGAUCGACGUAAUGAUUAAUAGGGAUAGUUGGGGGCAUUAGUAUUCAAUUGUCAGAGGUGAAAUUCUUGGAUUUAUUGAAGACUAACUACUGCGAAAGCAUUUGCCAAGGAUGUUUUCAUUAAUCAAGAACGAAAGUUAGGGGAUCGAAGACGAUCAGAUACCGUCGUAGUCUUAACCAUAAACUAUGCCGACUAGGGAUCGGAUGAUGUUAAUUUUUAAUGACU
This 504-nucleotide ribosomal RNA is filed under the name uncultured Glomus. RNAcentral describes it as "SSU rRNA". It matches the Rfam family "Eukaryotic small subunit ribosomal RNA", at positions 569 to 1076 of the family's 1831-position model. The record is from RNAcentral. Lineage: Eukaryota; Fungi; Glomeromycota; Glomeromycetes; Glomerales; Glomeraceae.